Molecule: long non-coding RNA, 404 nt
Filed under: Pongo abelii (Sumatran orangutan)
Lineage: Eukaryota; Metazoa; Chordata; Mammalia; Primates; Hominidae
Description: lincRNA
Source: RNAcentral
UGGGAGCAGGAGUUGUCUCGCUUUCUGCUGAGUCCUCUGCAUCCCCUUCUUGCAGUCAGAGCCCCACAGUUGAUGUGUGCUCUUACCGCUAAACUGAAUUUCCCAGCUUCUGCUGCAGGUCUGCGAGGCCAUGUGACCUGAGAAGCAGUGAAGGUGGCAGAAGUGGGAUCCACCACAUCCAAGCUCAGGCCAUGAAACUGCCUGUGGCAUCCUCCACGCUCUUGCUCUUCUCUCUCCUGCUGGUCAGACAUGGAUGAUCCAGUGGAGGCCUCCAAGGCCCUAGGGGAUGGCAGAACCGCUCGAUAGCAGAUGCUUGGGGCCCUGGAGGACUGCAUGGAUCAAAGCCCCCUCCAACCAACUUUGGAUUGUGAAAUGAUCAUGAGAUAAACCUUCAUUAUGGUGCG